GUAACCCGAAAUCGUGUAGUAGGGAGAUAUAUUUACCACUACUUGUAACCCGGAAUCGUGUACUAGGGAGGUACCGUCCGGCGUACAUGUGUAAAAAAAUCCCCACUACUUGUUACCCGGAAUCGGGUAGUAAGGAGGUAGCGUCCGGCGUCAUAUAUUUACCGCUAGGAGGGAAGGUGCGGCGGGGGAGGGUGGAUCCCAAGGUGGUCUCUCCUUUCCCCUAGCCCCCAGUCAAUACGCGGCGGCGGAGGACGGCACGCGGGUAGAGGGGGGAGAGCGGCGGCGUUAGCGGCAGCCUACGGAGCUUACUCCUAGGUCACGACGAACGCUCAUCCGCUGGUUUAUUCGUCGAGGGGGAAACCCUCGGCGUCAGGGGUUAGCUUCGUCGUUCUCGUCGUCGAAAAAACCCUCGCCGCUAGGCGUUAGUUCGCCGGGAAGAGGCUCGACGUUGGCCGUUAGGUUCGUUAGUUCGCCGAGGAGAGACUCGGCGUCAGCCUUUAGCUUCGCCAAGGGGAAAAAUCACCGAUUAGGCCUUAGUUUCGUCAGGAAAGGCCUAAUGUUAGUCUUUGUCCGGGAGAAAGCUUAAGUCAGAGGCUCAAAGGCAACCACCGCCGUUGGGCCGUCGACAUAUAUAUAUAUAUAUAUAGACCGGCCCUCCGUGACGCAGCGGGCAGUUAGAAGCCUCUUCUGCGCGUCGUCGUUGAGGGAUCUGUAGUCAAAAGUCUGACUGGCCGCCGUUGAGUCCGCUACCGCUCCUGAUCAGCGGCCGCUCUCCGACGGUUUAACUACCGGUUUGGUAGCCAAUUCCGCCUUAGGAGGGAGCUGUUCGACUUUACAUUCCUUCUACUAUCCUAGUCGUUCAACGGGUUACUGUAUGACCAGUUGUAAGAACUGGCAGAGUUAAAGGCACUACAAUGUUCUUGGUCACAGGAGAGGUCUGCAACCUCAGUCGAAGGACGGUUAGAGAGUGCCGAAUUUUAUUCACGAGCGCUAAAAGACAGGGGUGUUCGAUCGUAUGGACUACUACUUAACCUACUUUUUAACGAAGCCUAGUUACGUAACGAAUCCUAGUUACGUCAGUUACGUCGGUUACGUCGACACCAGUUUCGCUGUCUCUCGUGCGACCGUGUGUCUCUAGGUCCACCUACGUGGUAGGCGGAGAACUCGUGCUGCAAGAUGAACUCUCCACUAUGGGGUUAUAGACAACCCGUAUGACAACCGUUACGGUACCGCUGUGAGUUCCAGCUCUUUCGGCUUAAGUGUCAAAACUGUGUCGUCUUUCCUGCGGUCACAUCAUAACUACUCUACCACUUCAAACCCUGUGCCAAACACAGUAAAAAAUUACUUACGGUGUUACGUAAACGACCAGAGUGUGCGGAGAUGGACCUCUUAAACUCUAAGGCACUUAGGUUGAAACAGAGAUUGUAGGAACAGUGAACGUUCGUUAAUUUAAUAAAUCCAAAAAAGUUAACACUGUGUCUCCUAACCUAUUGCGAGGUUCAACUUGUGCGUGUCGAGUCACUCGAAUCAUAACAACUAACGGCAAAACUGUACCAGCUCGAGUGGACCCAAGGCUUUGAGUGGACCGACCGCAAAAACAAUACCAAUAUAGUACGUCUUGAUGGUGACAGUGACCCGAUACAGGGUAACGAGUCCCAAGACUCUGAAAGUUUACGACGAGUAUCAAAGGUGUUUUUGCAGUUCGACUCAUACAAAGAGGUACUCUGGAGACAAGCUCUGGACUGAAACCCCAAAUUUACACUUUUCCAAACCCAAGUUGGUCUCACAAACUGGUCUUCUGUCCGUAUACACAAGGUCGUUGAUUCCUAAGAGUUAGAUCAAUUUUAAGGACUUCCCAUACUAGAGUGGACCUGUUACAAGAAGAACCUUCGCCGCGGCAGGGACCUCCUCGAGAUGUACUACCAUACCCUGGUAGGUACACUUUACUUUUACCUAGUCCUCUAAUCGCUCUUGUUCCCGCAACUCACCCUUAGUGGAUGUAGUUUAAAGUUCGUGGUGACAGACCGGUUCAAGUAGGAGCAGCCGAAAGUUCGAUUUCUGAUGUACCACCGAGUACAGUCCGCACAGGACUUUCGUCGCCACUUAGAUGUCCUACACAUGGACAUACUAUCAGACCGUACACGGUUCACAGUGUUCUUCCAUCUCUUACGCGCGUGCAGACUACGUCACCAUGCACCAUACACGGGCCCGCACUUAGACGGCUAUUUCAAGGGAACAUGUUUACUCCUGGUCGCAAGUCACGUCUUCGCUUACGGGGCCCCGUAACCCAGUGAACGGUUUUAGGUGAAGCACUGUAGAUUCCUUUACUCCCGACUUGUAGCAGCUUCCUACCCACAGUACCCUCGAUUGACCUACAACAGCUCCGAUCCCGUCGCAUAAAUUAAUUAUGGUCAGCCAACCUCAACGCUCGAAAAGAACCAACGAGAAGAAAACACCAACGUUGCGAACAUAUUUGAUUUAAGUCAACUUCAUUAAACAUCGUGAUAACAGGCACUUAAGUUCUUCAGCUAUGUUGGUCAAUUUUAAACUCUGGUUCACAAAUCUCAAUAUAACUAGAUACUACCACCACUCACACGCAGUCAACUAUACCAAUAAACACUCG
This 2623-nucleotide ribosomal RNA is filed under the name Triticum aestivum (bread wheat). RNAcentral describes it as "partial small subunit ribosomal RNA". The record is from RNAcentral. Lineage: Eukaryota; Viridiplantae; Streptophyta; Magnoliopsida; Poales; Poaceae.